ACGCUCGACACCUACGGGAGGCGGCAGUGGGGAAUAUUGCACAAUGGGGGAAACCCUGAUGCAGCGACGCCGCGUGAGCGAAGAAGUAUUUCGGUAUGUAAAGCUCUAUCAGCAGGGAAGAAGAAAGACGGUACCUGACUAAGAAGCCCCGGCUAACUACGUGCCGGCAGCCGCGGUAAUCUGAGCGGGCUGGCAAGGC
Molecule: ribosomal RNA, 199 nt
Filed under: uncultured bacterium
Lineage: Bacteria
Description: partial 16S ribosomal RNA
Rfam family: Bacterial small subunit ribosomal RNA
Source: RNAcentral